RNAcentral lists this ribosomal RNA (73 nucleotides) under Lacticaseibacillus casei. RNAcentral's name for it is "Lactobacillus casei partial 16S ribosomal RNA". The stretch from base 1 to 64 matches the Rfam family "Bacterial small subunit ribosomal RNA", at positions 1470 to 1533 of the family's 1533-position model. The record is from RNAcentral. Lineage: Bacteria; Bacillati; Bacillota; Bacilli; Lactobacillales; Lactobacillaceae.
AAUGAUUAGGGUGAAGUCGUAACAAGGUAGCCGUAGGAGAACCUGCGGCUGGAUCACCUCCUUUCUAAGGAAA